UGGGGAAUAUUGCACAAUGGGCGAAAGCCUGAUGCAGCAACGCCGCGUGAGCGAUGAAGGCCUUUGGGUCGUAAAGCUCUGUCGGAAGGGAAGAAAAAAAUGACGGUACCUUCCGAGGAAGCCCUGGCUAACUACGUGCCAGCAGCCGCGGUAAUACGUAGGGGGCAAGCGUUAUCCGGAAUUAUUGGGCGUAAAGGGUGCGUAGGUGGUCUGAUAAGCGUGGGGUGAAAGGCAAUAGCUUAACUAUUGUAAGCCUUGCGAACUGUCAGACUUGAGUGCAGGAGAGGAAAGUGGAAUUCCUAGUGUAGCGGUGAAAUGCGUAGAUAUUAGGAGGAACACCAGUGGCGAAGGCGACUUUCUGGACUGUAACUGACACUGAGGCACGAAAGCGUGGGGAGCAAACA
Molecule: ribosomal RNA, 404 nt
Filed under: uncultured prokaryote
Description: bacterial SSU rRNA
Rfam family: Bacterial small subunit ribosomal RNA
Source: RNAcentral